UACGUAGGUGGCAAGCGUUGUCCGGAUUUACUGGGCGUAAAGAGCGCGCAGGCGGUCGUUCAAGUCGCGUGUGAAAGCCCCCGGCUCAACUGGGGAGGGUCACGCGAUACUGAUCGACUCGAAGGCAGGAGAGGGAAGUGGAAUUCCCGGUGUAGUGGUGAAAUGCGUAGAUAUCUGGAGGAACACCGGUGGCGAAGGCGGCAUCCUGGACCAAUUCUGACGCUGAGGAGCGAAAGCCAGGGGAGCAAACGGG
Molecule: ribosomal RNA, 253 nt
Filed under: uncultured bacterium
Lineage: Bacteria
Description: partial 16S ribosomal RNA
Rfam family: Bacterial small subunit ribosomal RNA
Source: RNAcentral